Schistosoma rodhaini is the source of this 48-nucleotide non-coding RNA. Lineage: Eukaryota; Metazoa; Platyhelminthes; Trematoda; Strigeidida; Schistosomatidae. The record is from Rfam.
AUCCAGCUGACGAGUCUCAAAUAGGACGAAACGCGCGUCAAACUAGAU